GAAAGGAGAGGCAGGAGGAUCAUGAACUCACACCAGCUUUAGUUACAAAGAGAACUAUCUCAUAGCAAAAACAAAAAUCCCACCUCAUGCCAAAACACUGUGCACUCUGAUUCCAUUAUGGGAUUCUUUUGUGGUCACAUUGUAGGGAACAUGGUGAUGAGUGUGAGGGUUAGAGGUGAUGGUGGUGUGGUGUUGGUUCACCAACAUGGGCCAGGGGCAGCCUUAAGAUGGGAUUUCUGUGUGUGCCUGUAAUAAAUGACAUCAAAACUGUGAAAGGUAGCUUUAAAAUACUGAGGUCUGAGUGAGCUGUGCAAGCUGUCAGUGUCUGCUUCUGCUUCUGAUCUGCUGUAGUUAGGGAAAGUUCUGCUCACUGGGAACACCACGUGACACAUCUGUACACUGAGGGUCGUCCUGUAAAUCUGAGUGUGUGAGACUGGGAGAGAGGGAGAGAGAAGGGGGAGGGAAGAAGAGCGAGGGAGGAAGAGCCUGGGAGCUUUGCUCACAUGUUUUCCCACAUGUUGGUUGAAUUUAACUCUCAGAAGCUUGUUUACAUAUGCAUAUGAAGCCAGGCUUUAAAGCUAGGACCUUUCUUCCCUUUAAAAAAAUGUAAAGUUAAAGAAAGAAAAAAAGAAAGAAAAAGAAAGUAAAUAAGUGCUGGUAUUUGUUGUAUAGUUGGUUAGUCUUUGUGUUAAAAAAAAAAAA
RNAcentral lists this long non-coding RNA (702 nucleotides) under Mus musculus (house mouse). RNAcentral's name for it is "predicted gene, 47121". The record is from RNAcentral. Lineage: Eukaryota; Metazoa; Chordata; Mammalia; Rodentia; Muridae.